GUGCUCACUUUGGCAGCACAUAUAUUAAAACUGAAACAAUACAGAGAAGAUUAGCAUGGUCCCUGCACAAGGAUGACAUGCAAAUAUGGAAGCAUUCCAUAUUUUC
Molecule: small nuclear RNA, 106 nt
Filed under: Cervus hanglu yarkandensis (Yarkand deer)
Lineage: Eukaryota; Metazoa; Chordata; Mammalia; Artiodactyla; Cervidae
Source: RNAcentral